RNAcentral lists this ribosomal RNA (529 nucleotides) under Bacillus aerius. RNAcentral describes it as "bacterial SSU rRNA". It matches the Rfam family "Bacterial small subunit ribosomal RNA", at positions 364 to 883 of the family's 1533-position model. Lineage: Bacteria; Bacillati; Bacillota; Bacilli; Caryophanales; Bacillaceae. The record is from RNAcentral.
UUCCGCAAUGGACGAAAUUCUGAGGGAGCAACGCCGCGUGAGUGAUGAAGGUUUUCGGAUCGUAAAGUUCUGUUGUUAGGGAAGAACAAGUGCUAGAGUAACUGCUGGCACCUUGACGGUACCUAACCCGAAAGCCACGGCUAACUACGUGCCAGCAGCCGCGGUAAUACGUAGGUGGCAAGCGUUGUCCGGAAUUAUUGGGCGUAAAGGGCUCGCAGGGGGUUUCUUAAGUCUGAUGUGAAAGCCCCCGGCUCAACCGGGGAGGGUCAUUGGAAACUGGGAAACUUGGGUGCAGAAGAGGAGGAGUGGAAUUCCGCGUGUAGCGGUGAAAUGCGUAGAGAUGUGGAGGAACCCCGGUGGCGAAGGCGACUCUCUGGUCUGUAACUGACGCUGAGGGGCGAAAGCGUGGGGAGCGAACAGGAUUAGAUACCCUGGUAGUCCCCGCCGUAAACGAUGAGUGCUAAGUGUUAGGGGGUUUCCGCCCCUUAGUGCUGCAGCUAACGCAUUAAGCACUCCCCCUGGGGAGUAC